Long non-coding RNA from Amborella trichopoda, 521 nucleotides. RefSeq lists it as uncharacterized. The record is from RefSeq and is a predicted model, not a curated record. NCBI's taxonomy places the organism in Eukaryota, Viridiplantae, Streptophyta, Magnoliopsida, Amborellales, Amborellaceae.
UCCGUUAUAUUUAUGUUAUUAACAAGAUACCUAAACUUUAUGUUAUUACGCAUCCGUUGAACUCCAUUGAAACUGCUUCAUUGCUCACCAUGCACCAGACAGCCAUGCCAUCCUCCACCCGCCACGUGUGGCUGAAGUAAAAGCCAUUGGUAGGAUGCUCCUCGCCUCGACUCUCUCUCACUAACACGAAACCCUGAAAAAAUCAGAGAGACAAGCAUAUCUCCAGUUGGUGAGGAAAGUGAAGAAAGAAAACCGUAGAAAACAAUGGGCACUAUGGAAUGGGAAUCAACUAUUGGAUCUGGGAUGGUGUUUGUUAUCCCGUUUAUAUCGUGGUUUAAUGCUUACAGUUGCCAUUUUUGGGCAAUCUACUGGUCAUUUUGGAUCCAUUGGGGUUCCAGGGUUCCCUUAUUCGUUGCUGGAUUUGGGAAAUUUUCAGAAGUAAUAUGUGAAAAGGAAUGUUAGGGUUUAUAUGGAUGGUUGCUUUGAUCUCAUGCAUUAUGGCCAUGCAAAUGCACUUAAGG